UCUUGAUGGUAGUGUAUUGGACUACCAUGGCGAUCACGGGUAACGGAGAAUUAGGGUUCGAUUCCGGAGAGGGAGCCUGAGAAACGGCUACCACUUCUAAGGAAGGCAGCAGGCGCGUAAAUUACCCAAUCCUGACUUAGGGAGGUAGUGACAAGAAAUAACGACUCGGGACUUACAAAGUUUACGAGAUUGUAAUGAAAACAAUUUAAAACACUCAAUGAGGAACAAUUGGAGGGCAAGUCUGGUGCCAGCAGCCGCGGUAAUUCCAGCUCCAAUAGCGUAUAUUAAAGUUGUUGCAGUUAAAAAGCUCGUAGUUGAACUUCUGCCAGGCCGCCGACCUUUCAGGUUUGUUGUGGCUUUGGCAUCCCCUUUGAGAUCAGGGUACGUUCUUUGGUGAUCGGCUCUGAAAUCAAGGAUUUUACUUUGAAAAAAUUAGAGUGUUUCAAGCAGGCCUGUGCUGGAAUACAUUAGCAUGGAAUAAUAGAAGAUGACUUCGGACAUUUUGUUGGUUAUUGUCAGAAGUAAUGAUUAACAGGGACGGUUGGGGCCAUUAGUAUUUAAUUGUCAGAGGUGAGGUUCAUAGAUUAAUUAAAGACUAACUUAUGCGAAAGCGUUUGCUGAGGAUGUUUUCAUGAAUCAGAAGAGGAGUUAGGGGUCAGAAGACGUCGGAUAUGUCGGGGCGAUUCGU
RNAcentral lists this ribosomal RNA (688 nucleotides) under uncultured ciliate. RNAcentral's name for it is "bacterial SSU rRNA". It matches the Rfam family "Eukaryotic small subunit ribosomal RNA", at positions 320 to 1018 of the family's 1831-position model. Lineage: Eukaryota; Ciliophora. The record is from RNAcentral.